Molecule: ribosomal RNA, 440 nt
Filed under: uncultured bacterium
Lineage: Bacteria
Description: partial 16S ribosomal RNA
Rfam family: Bacterial small subunit ribosomal RNA
Source: RNAcentral
CCUACGGGUGGCAGCAGUGGGGAAUAUUGCACAAUGGGGGAAACCCUGAUGCAGCGACGCCGCGUGAGUGAAGCAGUAUUUCGUUAUGUAACGCUCUAUCAGCAGGGAAGAAAAUGACGGUCCCUGCGUACGAAGCACCGGCUACAUACGUGCCAGCAGCCGCGGUAAUACGUAGGGGGCACGCGUUAUUCGGCUUUACUGGGUGGAAAGGGAGCGUAGACGGCAGUGCAAGUAUGGAGUGAAAGGCUGGGGCUCAACCCCCGGACUGCUUUGGAAACUGUACGGCUGGAGUGCAGGAGAGGUAAGUGGAAUUCCGAGUGUAGCGGUGAAAUGCGUAGAUAUUAGGAGGAACACCAGUGGCGAAGGCGGCUUACUGGACUGUAACUGACGUUGAGGCUCGAAAGCGUGGGGAGCAAACAGGAUUAGAUACCCGUGUAGUC